RNAcentral lists this transfer RNA (98 nucleotides) under Anaerolineales bacterium. RNAcentral describes it as "tRNA-Sec". It matches the Rfam family "Selenocysteine transfer RNA". The record is from RNAcentral. Lineage: Bacteria; Bacillati; Chloroflexota; Anaerolineae; Anaerolineales.
GGGAGCGGAUGGGUCCCGGUGGGCCUUGCGGGCUUCAAACCCGUUGGGGGGCACCCUUCGGUGUCCUCGGUGGGUUCGACUCCCUCCCGCUCCCGCCA